AUACGUAGGGUGCAAGCGUUGUUCGGAAUCAUUGGGCGUAAAGCGCGUGUAGGCGGUUGGCUAAGUCCGGUGUGAAAUCCCGGGGCUUAACUCCGGAAGUGCAUUGGAUACUGGCCAGCUAGAGGACGGGAGAGGAAAGCGGAAUUCCUGGUGUAGGGGUGAAAUCCGUAGAUAUCAGGAGGAAUGCCGGAGGCGAAGGCGGCUUUCUGGUCCGUUUCUGACGCUGAGACGCGAAAGCGUGGGUAGC
RNAcentral lists this ribosomal RNA (247 nucleotides) under uncultured bacterium. RNAcentral describes it as "partial 16S ribosomal RNA". It matches the Rfam family "Bacterial small subunit ribosomal RNA", at positions 523 to 769 of the family's 1533-position model. The record is from RNAcentral.